This 253-nucleotide ribosomal RNA is filed under the name uncultured bacterium. RNAcentral describes it as "partial 16S ribosomal RNA". It matches the Rfam family "Bacterial small subunit ribosomal RNA", at positions 524 to 776 of the family's 1533-position model. The record is from RNAcentral.
UACGAAGGGGGCUAGCGUUGCUCGGAAUCACUGGGCGUAAAGGGUGCGUAGGCGGGUUUCUAAGUCAGAGGUGAAAGCCUGGAGCUCAACUCCAGAACUGCCUUUGAUACUGGAAGUCUUGAGUUCGGGAGAGGUGAGUGGAACUGCGAGUGUAGAGGUGAAAUUCGUAGAUAUUCGGAAGAACACCAGUGGCGAAGGCGGCUCACUGGCCCGGUACUGACGCUGAUGUGCGAAAGCGUAGGGAGCAAACAGG